ACAGUCUACAGUCUAAUGUACACUAGCCUGACAGAUGAUUAUCUACAGUCUAAUGUACACUAGCCUGACAGAUGAUUGUCUACAGUCUAAUAUACACUAGUCUGACAGAUGAUUAUCUACAGUCUAAUGUACACUAGUCUGACAGAUGAUUAUCUACAGUCUAAUGUACACUAGCCUGACAGAUGAUUGUCUACAGUCUAAUGUACACUAGCCUGACAGAUGAUUGUCUACAGUCUAAUGUACACUAGUCUGACAGAUGAUUGUCUACAGUCUAAUGUACACUAGCCUGACAGAUGAUUGUCUACAGUCUAAUGUACACUAGUCUGACAGAUGAUUAUCUACAGUCUAAUGUACACUAGCCUGACAGAUGAUUAUCUACAGUCUAAUGUACACUAGCCUGACAGAUGAUUGUCUACAGUCUAAUGUACACUAGCCUGACAGAUGAUUAUCUACAGUCUAAUGUACACUAGCCUGACAGAUGAUUAUCUACAGUCUAAUGUACACUAGCCUGACAGAUGAUUAUCUACAGUCUAAUGUACACUAGUCUGACAGAUGAUUAUCUACAGUACUAGCCUGACAGAUGAUUAUCUACAGUCUAAUGUACACUAGCCUGACAGAUGAUUGUCUACAGUCUAAUGUACACUAGCCUGACAGAUGAUUAUCUACAGUCUAAUGUACACUAGCCUGACAGAUGAUUAUCUACAGUCUAAUGUACACUAGCCUGACAGAUGAUUGUCUACAGUCUAAUGUACACUAGUCUGACAGAUGAUUAUCUACAGUCUAAUGUACACUAGUCUGACAGAUGAUUAUCUACAGUCUAAUGUACACUAGCCUGACAGAUGAUUGUCUACAGUCUAAUGUACACUAGCCUGACAGAUGAUUAUCUACAGUCUAAUGUACACUAGUCUGACAGAUGAUUAUCUACAGUCUAAUGUACACUAGUCUGACAGAUGAUUAUCUACAGUCUAAUGUACACUAGUCUGACAGAUGAUUAUCUACAGUCUAAUGUACACUAGUCUGACAGAUGAUUGUCUACAGUCUAAUGUACACUAGUCUGACAGAUGAUUAUCUACAGUCUAAUGUACACUAGCCUGACAGAUGAUUAUCUACAGUCUAAUGUACACUAGUCUGACAGAUGAUUAUCUACAGUCUAAUGUACACUAGUCUGACAGAAGUACUUCAUCUUUGUGUCUUUCUUGUAAACACUAUAAUUUAACAUCAUGAAAAGUUCAAUGAAAGCAGCUAUUCAAAGUGAAUUACGAUAACAAAUCAAAGUAAAGCUGAUAUUCACUUAGUUGACAUUUCCCUUCAAAGAGCUGAGCAACCAACACAAUAUUUACAAGUCAAGAGACAAUCCAGACCAGCGUAACAACUUGAUUUCGAUAAACACACAGACAAAAAAAAAUUAAAUCCUGGUUUCUUUAUGAGCAUCCGUAUAGAACGAAGGAAAAAUUAAUUCCUGGACAAAAGAGAGAUUUGUCCAUAAUGUGACGUGUAUUGGUUGGUUGUAAAAUACUGUCUACAGCUUUUUUAUGUAGUUCCUACGAAAGUAUUAGAUAAGCAUUUAAGUAUAGGCUUAAAAGGAGGACGUUAACUGGAGAGCAUUAAAGUUCAGAUGGAAAGCAGGAGGGCAGAAUCAGUCAUUGAGCCACUGAAUACACUACAAAUGGAUUAGGAAGGCCGAGUCAAAAACAAAGCUAAAAUCAAAACCUUUUAAACUGAAAAAGGAAAGGUGGCAAAGUCCAGCUUUAUUUCACCUGAGCAUGUUAUAUACCCUGUACUACGACCACCUCCUCACCGGAAACGAAAGGGACUUUAUAAGACACUGAUUACAUUUUUAUUUCUUUACAAUGUAAUCACCACAGUGUUAGUUAUAAAUAGAUGUCUGUAAAGGAGCCCUCCUCCAUUAACCAUAGUGUUAGUCAUAAAUAUAUGUCUGUAAAGGAGCCCUACUCCAUUAACCAUAGUGUUAGUCAUAAAUACUUUAAUUUCCUCCUUCCUCAAUGGGUCACUUAUUUAAAAUUCCUAACAGUCAAGUGGAAAAACAACUUGGUGGAAGGAACCCUCUAUCAACCCUUUCAACCAUCUUUGAUGAGACGCAGCCUUUGGUUAGCAAUAGUGCUACUACAUUAUAGCUGGGAAUGUUCGCGGUGCCAUAGAUUUGGAAUUAAUUCAUUUUGUCCAGCAGCUGGUUAUGUAACGUCCAAUGUGUUUAAGAUGACAUGGGAGAGCGAGUACUUUGGUGUUUAUUCUCCAGGAGAGAGAGUUAAAAGAGGGAGAUAGGUAAAGAGAAGAAAGCCUUGGCCAGCUGGUUAGGUAGGAAGGGCGUAUCAAGCAGCUUGCAAGCUUAUUUGUUGUUGUGCUUAUUUUGAGAGCAGUGUUGUGUUACCAAAGUGUUCUAUACCGAGGUUUGAAAGGGGCCCCUCCCCGAGCUACAAUCCUGCACAUUGUUUGCUAUGCCUUCGCUCUCCCUCCACCUCUCCCUCCUUCUGCCCCCUCUCUCCC
Molecule: long non-coding RNA, 2505 nt
Organism: Oncorhynchus tshawytscha (Chinook salmon)
Lineage: Eukaryota; Metazoa; Chordata; Actinopteri; Salmoniformes; Salmonidae
Source: Ensembl